GCAGCACCCCUUCCUCCGCCCACUCGGCCGCCAUGUGGCAGCCGAGUGAGGGCCUCGGGGCGGCGC
Oryza nivara is the source of this 66-nucleotide non-coding RNA. Lineage: Eukaryota; Viridiplantae; Streptophyta; Magnoliopsida; Poales; Poaceae. The record is from Rfam.